UACGAAGGGGGCUAGCGUUGUUCGGAUUUACUGGGCGUAAAGCGCACGUAGGCGGAUUGUUAAGUCAGGGGUGAAAUCCUGGAGCUCAACUCCAGAACUGCCUUUGAUACUGGCAAUCUUGAGUCCGGAAGAGGUGAGUGGAACUCCUAGUGUAGAGGUGGAAUUCGUAGAUAUUAGGAAGAACACCAGUGGCGAAGGCGGCUCACUGGCCCAUUACUGACGCUGAGGCACGAAAGCGUGGGGAGCGAACGGG
This 253-nucleotide ribosomal RNA is filed under the name uncultured bacterium. RNAcentral describes it as "partial 16S ribosomal RNA". It matches the Rfam family "Bacterial small subunit ribosomal RNA", at positions 524 to 776 of the family's 1533-position model. The record is from RNAcentral.